GCCCUACACUAGAGGACAACAGUUGGAAACGACUGCUAAUACUCUAUACUCCUCUUUAACAUAAGUUAGAUAGGGAAAGUUUUUCGGUGUAGGAUGAGGCUAUAUUGUAUCAGCUAGUUGGUGAGGUAAUGGCUCACCAAGGCUAUGACGCAUAACUGGUCUGAGAGGAUGAUCAGUCACACUGGAACUGAGACACGGUCCAGACUCCUACGGGAGGCAGCAGUAGGGAAUAUUGCUCAAUGGGGGAAACCCUGAAGCAGCAACGCCGCGUGGAGGAUGACACUUUUCGGAGCGUAAACUCCUUUUGUUAGGGAAGAACAAUGACGGUACCUAACGAAUAAGCACCGGCUAACUCCGUGCCAGCAGCCGCGGUAAUACGGAGGGUGCAAGCGUUACUCGGAAUCACUGGGCGUAAAGGACGCGUAGGCGGAUUAUCAAGUCUCUUGUGAAAUCCUAUGGCUUAACCAUAGAACUGCUUGGGAAACUGAUAAUCUAGAGUGAGGGAGAGGCAGAUGGAAUUGGUGGUGUAGGGGUAAAAUCCGUAGAGAUCACCAGGAAUACCCAUUGCGAAGGCGAUCUGCUGGAACUCAACUGACGCUAAUGCGUGAAAGCGUGGGGAGCAAACAGGAUUAGAUACCCUGGUAGUCCACGCCCUAAACGAUGUAUACUAGUUGUUGCUAAGCUAGUCUUGGCAGUAAUGCACCUAACGGAUUAAGUAUACCGCCUGGGGAGUACGGUCGCAAGAUUAAAACUCAAAGGAAUAGACGGGGACCCGCACAAGCGGUGGAGCAUGUGGUUUAAUUCGAAGAUACGCGAAGAACCUUACCCGGACUUGAUAUCUAACAAAUCAUCUAGAGAUAGAAGAGUGUCUGCUCGCAGAAAUGUUAAGACAGGUGCUGCACGGCUGUCGUCAGCUCGUGUCGUGAGAUGUUGGGUUAAGUCCCGCAACGAGCGCAACCCACGUCAUUAGUUGCUAACAGUUCGGCUGAGCACUCUAAUGAGACUGCCUUCGUAAGGAGGAGGAAGGUGUGGACGACGUCAAGUCAUCAUGGCCCUUAUGUCCGGGGCGACACACGUGCUACAAUGGCAUAUACAAUGAGAAGCAAUAUCGCGAGAUGGAGCAAAUCUAUAAAAUAUGUCCCAGU
This 1145-nucleotide ribosomal RNA is filed under the name Campylobacter concisus. RNAcentral's name for it is "bacterial SSU rRNA". It matches the Rfam family "Bacterial small subunit ribosomal RNA", at positions 128 to 1292 of the family's 1533-position model. The record is from RNAcentral. Lineage: Bacteria; Pseudomonadati; Campylobacterota; Epsilonproteobacteria; Campylobacterales; Campylobacteraceae.